CAGCCGUAAACUAUGCGCGUUAGGUGUAUCGGUGACCACGAGUUACCGAGGUGCCGAAGGGAAACCGUGAAACGUGCCGCCUGGGAAGUACGGUCGCAAGGCUGAAACUUAAAGGAAUUGGCGGGGGGAGCACCACAACAGGUGGAGCCUGCGGUUUAAUUGGACUCAACGCCGGACAACUCACCGGGAACGACAGCAAUAUGUAGGCCAGGCUGAAGACCUUGCCUGAAUCGCUGAGAGGAGGUGCAUGGCGUAGACGUCU
RNAcentral lists this ribosomal RNA (262 nucleotides) under uncultured archaeon. RNAcentral describes it as "partial 16S ribosomal RNA". It matches the Rfam family "Archaeal small subunit ribosomal RNA", at positions 748 to 1009 of the family's 1478-position model. The record is from RNAcentral.